CCUUUGCACUCUCACUCACUUACUCCAAGCUAAUAAAAUUUAAAAAAAUAAAUAAAUAAAUGUUUUUAAACAAUUAAUUUUUCAGUGAUGCAGGGAGCAUUAUCCCUAAAGGCCAGGGACAGUUGUGAGUCUUUGAAGUGAGGUUAUGUUAAAAAAAUUUAGACAGAUAAAAUCUUACCUGCAAUACAGGAAUCUUUUGUUUCAACUCCACAUUCGUAGGUCCAAGUGGGUAAAGCGAGGAGGGUCCGUGCAUCCUGAAAUGUCUUAAAUUCAAGUAUCUAAAAUCAAGGCCUAAAAAAUUAAUUUAAAAAAGUUACGUUGGCCUUAAAUAUGUGAAUCAUAGAUCUUAAAUUUUGUUGCGGCAUUACUAUUUAAUCUCUCAUAUACUAUGUAGGUUUUUUUUUUUUUUUGUCAUGAGACUUUCCCAUCAGGCUAAUGUUUAUGUCACUUUAUUGUGUUGUGUGUCUCAUGGCAGUUGAGACUACUGGUAGCUAUCUGCUAAUUUACACUUGCUAGCUAGCAAAUGUAUAUUAGCAGCUAUGUUAGAAGGAACUAUUGGUUCUGGUUCCUGGAGUGGAAAUGGAGGGAGGAGAUAAACUAGCCAUCUAAAAUAAAAGGCUAGCAAGCUUGCUUUUCUGCCUCCGUCAAAGGUUAAGUGCAAACUUAUCGCCAGUAGGGUGGACGUCGUUCAUCUUUGCCAUUGGAUCACUUCCGUUGCCAACCCAUAUGAUGCUACAUUUAUUCUGUGUAAAAAAUUAAAAAAAAAGUUCUUAAGAAGUCUUAAAUGUGGUGAAAUUGGUGAAACCUGCAGAAACCCUGAGUGAGAGAGAUGGCCAAGACCAAGACUGACUUUUAUCGUCCUGGAACAACUCCAGCCCACUUCCAAGAGAAGAUGGGGGUCAGAGUGGGUGCACCACCAAUAAUCAACCUGAGAGCUUAACAUUUAAAGUAUACUUACCAGUGGGGAUGACUACCUCAUGUAAAAGUAAAGCUCUUCCUCUGGAAUCCAUGAGCCGCUGCUGCUUUGAGCCGUACCGCAAGGAAGAAGUUUUCUCUUUAAGGGAUAGGUUAGUGUCAUGAAACCAACAACCAAUUAAAAAAAAGAUGACAGCCAUGUUUAAAGCUCCUGAGUUAGCUUUGAUUUUCAUCUGCCUAAUUGAAGACAAAAAAGCAAGAAAACCACUGAGCUUCAGAAUUAAUACAAAGUUAAUUAGCAUUGGUAAACAUGAGCUCACAUUCUAUUUCCUGCUGGCAUUUGUCGUGGAGUUUGAUUGGAUGAAUGCACCGCAUAGAGCAGCCCUUACAGCUGAUAUUUAAUGCUAGCUGCAUAAAUGCCAUCUUCGACUCAGUUCUUAGACGCUGCCGGUCUUUUAAAAAUUAGGUUAUUGAAUCCUCCUCUAGUCUAAGCACAGUGUUGAACUGCCUCCUGCAGCAGUGCCGGUGCUGAUUAUAGUUUAGCUGCUUAUGAAAUGUUCACAACUACAGGAUGUUGCUUAAAACGGCGUGAAUAAAUUAAGUUGAUGAUAAUGGGCUAGUUGUUUGAAGUUACAUUAAGAUAAAAGUGUGAUCUGUGUAAUCUAGAACUGAUAAAUUCACAAAUCUUUGCUGGUUUUCUGGCUGUGGAAACCAAGCUACUUCUUUUUCUUGAUUGAACCAGUUGACCACUGACAGUAACUCUUCAUAAACUGCCAUGGCGUUUUGGGGAAUGUGAAUUGUUUUAAGGUGGUAGGGGUCACUUCAGUCUUGGUGUAUUAACCAACCUUUAUCUUUUGCUUCAAGGUCUAACUAAUCUGAAUUUGUACUUAAAGAUACUAAAGCAGCCAUACAUGGAAGGCAGGAUACCAAAGCUGCUAUCUGAACAAAACUGGUCCACAAGGGAUGAUGUGGUGCAGGUUUUAGAUGUUUUCCUGCUUGAGCACAGCUGACUUAAAUGAGGGGAUCAUUAGCAAGCAGCUGCACAACUUGAAAACAGGCUUAGGAGUUAAUUUAAUGAUUUGAAUCAGGUGUUUGGAGCAGGGGCACAUCUAAAAUUUUUAGGACAUGUCCCUUUGAGGACCAAAUUGGCCCACCUCUGCUGCGAAAUCACGUAAAAAUAAUUUAGACACUGCUUAGAAAUGCGAUGGGCAUUGCUUUCUAUUUGUCUUGCUAGUAUUUGAUAAAGUCUCUCAUAAAAACAAGCGUCCAUGACGUCACAUAAUACAGCUGCUCAGAUUUCUUUUCUCCUUAUUUCUGUUUUAAGCCAAAUGUCCCCUUCAAAGGUGUUUAUUGUUACCUGCUGAUCAGCUUGACUCAUGUGCCUCUUGUGACGUCAUCCACCCAAAUACAAGCGAAGAAGAAUUAUUUUGAACAAAACCUGACUUCAAACGUCUUGAACUUUCCCUUUUAAAAUGCACUGCAAGGUUGUGAAAGGUAAAGUUGUUUUUUUUUUGUCCAAAAUGAAUUUAAAUCCUGGAUAGAGUUUUUUUCUUUGUAGGAAUUUCACUACUAAAGCCUUAAUAUUUGGGGCUUUUAGAUGCCAUUUAGAGUCCAUCCUUUUACGUCCAUGUUGCUAGUUCCAUAACAAGAGAGCUUGGACAAUCAGAAAGUCAUGCUGACUGUGUGUGGUAGGCAGUCUGCAGUGGUCUUCCCAUAGGUUAUGCAACCCUAUCCUAAUGACCUUAAAGGAUGGGACUGACUUGUCUUACGAGCUGCAAUAGAACAGCUAUUUUAUUGGUAAUUUGUAGGGGGCAUGAGAAUGUGUUGAGUAAGGAACCCGGAGUGCUCUCUGACUGCAUGCAGCUGUUAUGAGCUUCGUGCAAACAAACAUGCCAGAGGGAGGAAAUAAGAACCUGACAAACAAACUUCCAGGUUAGCAUCGAUACCGCUGUUCUCGCCUCCUCCUGUGUUUCUGUUUUCUGAUGCCUUUGCAAUGCGAAACGUCCCAGAAAUGGCAGCACUUAUGCUAAUUGCAAUGUGAUUUGUAGUUUUUGAUGGAAAACAGUUGUCUUUUUGCAGCUUCUAUUAAGCGCAAUGUGCAGGCGUCUGGUUUUGUUGUAGAGGCUUUUAACGUAUCUCGUGUUGGGGCUUAUCGAGAUUAAGCGCGGUCUCAUGCUUUAUGCACAAGUUGUGCAGCUGAAGUGGUGAGCUGCAUCAGGCAACAGAGAUGUCACCCCACUCCCCGGCAGUUUCGCAGUGAAUAAUCAGGAAGCGACACCUUGAUACUGCAGCCACAACUGUGACUGUUGUCUGUGGUCAGGCCAAAAGUGAAACCGAGAAGUGCUGCAGAGACACUGUGUCCUGCGACGGCUCUUCUCAGGAAGGGCCCCACUGUUUUCCAUUUGGAACAUUUCAACCCCUCGCUCCCGGCCCUUGAUGACAUCACCUCACCAGUUCAGGUUUAACAUUUACUUCAAAGGAUGAGACGUUUCUGCCUGCUUAGCUGUUAAGGGGCAACGAGAGAGCGCGUGUGUGUGCGUGCUGAUAAUGAGAGAUGCUUUGAGGUUAAAAAAAGAGCAGUCUUGGUUUUAGAGUUUAUUAGAUUCUGAAGAGACUCUGGCAGGAACAAAGACAAGGAAUGAGAGUGUUUUUUUUUUUUUUGUUUUUUUUUUCCCCUGCUGUGUUAUGCAACCACUUGAGCUCCCUCUCGCUCUACCAGCAGUGUUCUAAUAGGACCCCACCCCCUCACUCAGGACAGCCUGCUCUUUUGAAGCAGCAUAAUUUCCUGUAAUGUUCUUAAUUUAGAAUCCCCAAGUAAAUCAUCAGCAUCUCUACAGCUGUGUUUAUUUUUUGCAUUUUAGCCUCUUAUAAAUUGCAAAUUGCUAUUGAUUAUAAUCACUAGAGCAAAAAAAAAAAAAAAGAAAUCCUUAUGGAAAUUAAUCUAGUUCCUGGGUUAGGCUUCAUAGCUCAGAGCUUGUUAUGAUCCUCUGUUUGGAAAUGUUACUACAUUGUCAGUUUGCUUGCUAAUUUUUUUGUAACUCAAAAGUAUAAAACACGAAUUAAUCAGUCAAUCAAAGAUCAAAAUCAGCCAAUUGAUUUCCCUAUUUCCUACUUUUUGAACACAUAACAACUAACUAACAUUUUUGGGCCAUAAAUGUAUCAACUUUGAACUUUUAAUAAAAGUCACAUAUUUUCUGUUCUAUUCCAGACUACUACUUUGGAAGAGAGGCUGUAGCUAAUGUGGUUCUUACAUGUGUUGUUUCCCCCUCAUGUUGUUGUUUAGACAUGGGGUAACAUGAGAUUAUCAUAGUAUGGUGGUCUUGAGUUAUGCAAUGAUUAGAAUGAUUUCAGUAGAACGAUUUCACUCUUUGUAGAAUUACUAAAAUAUAUGUUUUAUGUUAGCUGGGCUAUCUGCUGCAGUAUAAAGCCUGCAGUCAACUGCUUUCCAAACCCAUCACUUGUAGCUUGCCAACUGUUUUGAAGCAGUGUCAUAGGAUCCUGCUUCGUUUCCACAAGACGGUCUGUUUUAAUGAGCAGGAGUGUUUGCAAAGAGUUGAGUUUCUCUUUCUUGUUGAUGAAGUAAAAGUAUAGUUUCUCUAUUUAGGCCAGCUGACAGGGAGCGGGCACCAACAAUUGGAAGAAAGGGAAUGCUUCAUUAAUCUGCACUCGAUAAAGCCAGAAAAAAACUCAAGUCGCUCUGGCUCUUUCUCCAACAACUCAUUAAAAGCAUUGCAAAACAUUGAAGUGGUAUGAUGAAAAGUCGCUUCUGGUUCACCUAAUGCCCCAUAUAUUGACCUGGCAGGUUGGAAAAUAGAGCAAUCAUCGACGUGGAAGUAAACUGCUUCCCCUCUCUACAACAACACAUUGAUGGAGCCAGGAACAAUGACCAAACGGCCUCUGCUUCCCACCCCCCUGGGCAUCAUUUGGAUGGUGUGACAGAUUAAAAUAAAAGUGCUCCAGCUCCUCC
Poecilia latipinna (sailfin molly) is the source of this 4882-nucleotide long non-coding RNA. RefSeq lists it as uncharacterized. Lineage: Eukaryota; Metazoa; Chordata; Actinopteri; Cyprinodontiformes; Poeciliidae. The record is from RefSeq and is a predicted model, not a curated record. The transcript is spliced from 2 exons.